Molecule: small nucleolar RNA, 147 nt
Filed under: Canis lupus dingo (dingo)
Lineage: Eukaryota; Metazoa; Chordata; Mammalia; Carnivora; Canidae
Source: RNAcentral
UAAGCAAAAGUAAAUCAAGGGCAGGUCUGCUACUUAUAAAAUACCUAAUUCUAGUAGUGUGCUACGUGAGAAAGAAGUCUUUUGCUAACACCACAAGUCUCUGGUCCAAUAAGUGGACCAGAAUUGAUAGUAAUUCAUGCUACAAGU